RNAcentral lists this transfer RNA (72 nucleotides) under Camelus bactrianus (Bactrian camel). It matches the Rfam family "tRNA". From Rfam's summary of the family: Transfer RNA (tRNA) molecules are approximately 80 nucleotides in length. Their secondary structure includes four short double-helical elements and three loops (D, anti-codon, and T loops). Further hydrogen bonds mediate the characteristic L-shaped molecular structure. tRNAs have two regions of fundamental functional importance: the anti-codon, which is responsible for specific mRNA codon recognition, and the 3' end, to which the tRNAs corresponding amino acid is attached (by aminoacyl-tRNA synthetases). tRNAs cope with the degeneracy of the genetic code in two manners: having more than one tRNA (with a specific anti-codon) for a particular amino acid; and 'wobble' base-pairing, i.e. permitting non-standard base-pairing at the 3rd anti-codon position. Lineage: Eukaryota; Metazoa; Chordata; Mammalia; Artiodactyla; Camelidae. RNAcentral also lists the same sequence under 3 other names. The record is from Rfam by way of RNAcentral.
GAGGGUAUAGCUCAGUGGUAGAGCGUGUGCUUAGCAUGCAUGAGGUCCUGGGUUCAAUCCCCAGUGCCUCCA